UUUUCGUAGGUGAACCUGCGGAAGGAUCAUUAGUGAAUUUUUUAGAGUUCGGACGCUUUGCAAAAAGUUGACGGCUCGCUCACUAUUCUUUUACACACUUGUGCACUUGUCUUAAAUUUUUUCGAUGUCAAAGUCGAUGAAUUUUUAACACUUUUGUAUACUUGAUAUAAAAAAAAAGUCAUUGUGAAAAAUUGAUAAAGAAAGAAAAACUUUCAGCAAUGGAUCUCUUGGCUCUCGCAUCGAUGAAGAACGCAGC
Molecule: unclassified non-coding RNA, 256 nt
Filed under: uncultured fungus
Lineage: Eukaryota; Fungi
Description: sequence contains ITS1, 5.8S rRNA gene
Rfam family: 5.8S ribosomal RNA (bases 208-256)
Source: RNAcentral